GACCAUCCUCCAAGGCUAAAUACUCCUGACUGACCGAUAGUGAACCAGUACCGUGAGGGAAAGGCGAAAAGAACCCCGGCGAGGGGAGUGAAAAAGAACCUGAAACCGUGUACGUACAAGCAGUGGGAGCCUCUUAAUGGGGUGACUGCGUACCUUUUGUAUAAUGGGUCAGCGACUUAUAUUCUGUAGCAAGGUUAACCGAAUAGGGGAGCCGAAGGGAAACCGAGUCUUAACUGGGCGUUAAGUUGCAGGGUAUAGACCCGAAACCCGGUGAUCUAGCCAUGGGCAGGUUGAAGGUUGGGUAACACUAACUGGAGGACCGAACCGACUAAUGUUGAAAAAUUAGCGGAUGACUUGUGGCUGGGGGUGAAAGGCCAAUCAAACCGGGAGAUAGCUGGUUCUCCCCGAAAGCUAUUUAGGUAGCGCCUCGUGAAUUCAUCUCCGGGGGUAGAGCACUGUUUCGGCAAGGGGGUCAUCCCGACUUACCAACCCGAUGCAAACUGCGAAUACCGGAGAAUGUUAUCACGGGAGACACACGGCGGGUGCUAACGUCCGUCGUGAAGAGGGAAACAACCCAGACCGCCAGCUAAGGUCCCAAAGUCAUGGUUAAGUGGGAAACGAUGUGGGAAGGCCCAGACAGCCAGGAUGUUGGCUUAGAAGCAGCCAUCAUUUAAAGAAAGCGUAAUAGCUCACUGGUCGAGUCGGCCUGCGCGGAAGAUGUAACGGGGCUAAACCAUGCACCGAAGCUGCGGCAGCGACACUAUGUGUUGUUGGGUAGGGGAGCGUUCUGUAAGCCUGUGAAGGUAGCCUGUGAGGGUUGCUGGAGGU
Molecule: ribosomal RNA, 828 nt
Filed under: Escherichia coli
Lineage: Bacteria; Pseudomonadati; Pseudomonadota; Gammaproteobacteria; Enterobacterales; Enterobacteriaceae
Description: partial 23S ribosomal RNA
Rfam family: Bacterial large subunit ribosomal RNA
Source: RNAcentral